This 767-nucleotide ribosomal RNA is filed under the name uncultured Acaulospora. RNAcentral's name for it is "SSU rRNA". It matches the Rfam family "Eukaryotic small subunit ribosomal RNA", at positions 342 to 1108 of the family's 1831-position model. The record is from RNAcentral. Lineage: Eukaryota; Fungi; Glomeromycota; Glomeromycetes; Diversisporales; Acaulosporaceae.
UACCAUGGUUUUAACGGGUAACGGGGAAUUAGGGUUCGAUUCCGGGGAGGGAGCCUGAGAAACGGCUACCACAUCCAAGGAAAGCAGCAGGCGCGCAAAUUACCCAAUCCCGACACGGGGAGGUAGUGACAAUAAAUAACAAUAUGGGGCUCUUACGAGUCUUGUAAUUGGAAUGAGUACAAUUUAAAUCUCUUAACGAGGAACAAUUGGAGGGCAAGUCUGGUGCCAGCAGCCGCGGUAAUUCCAGCUCCAAUAGCGUAUAUUAAAGUUGUUGCAGUUAAAAAGCUCGUAGUUGAAUUUCGGGAUUUAUCCGUCGGUCGGGCUUUUGGGUCUGUACUGGCGUGAUGGAUUCCUACCUUCUGAAUAACCGGCAUGUCAUUAAUUUGGUGCGCCGGGGAAGCAGGACUGUUACCUUGAAAAAAUUAGAGUGCUUAAAGCAGGCUUAUGCCUGAAUACAUUAGCAUGGAAUAAUGAAAUAGGACGGCAUGGUUCUAUUUUGUUGGUUUCUAGGAUCACCGUAAUGAUUAAUAGGGAUAGUUGGGGGCAUUAGUAUUCAAUUGUCAGAGGUGAAAUUCUUGGAUUUAUUGAAGACUAACUUCUGCGAAAGCAUUUGCCAAGGAUGUUUUCAUUAAUCAAGAACGAAAGUUAGGGGAUCGAAGACGAUCAGAUACCGUCGUAGUCUUAACCAUAAACUAUGCCGACUAGGGAUCGGACGAUGUUAAUUUUUUAAUGACUCGUUCGGCGCCUUACGGGAAACCAAAGUGUUU